AGCAGAUGGCAGACUCCAGCAGAGCCCUCCACAGCCCUCUUGGCCCCCGCAAGGCAAGGAGAAAGGAGAGGGCGGGGGAGGCUGGCCCAGCUCCUCUGAGCUGGGCCUCCAGCAGCACGCUGUGCGUGUGCCCGCAUCGCAUUCACAUCUGCUCUCCCCCUCCCAAGUAUUGAUCCCGGGCCCAGAGUCUAGAGGCAUCUCGGAGGGCUCAGGCUGGCUGUGGGCUUCCCAGCGCUCCUGAACGAUUGCUGCCUGGGGGCUGUGCUGCUGCAUUUCUGAACAGCCACGGAGCGGGAUACUCUUGAGUUCCACGUGGGCCACUAAGUAGGGGAGGGAGCAACUGUUCACAGGUCUCUGGGCCCUUAAGAACCCCAAACUGAGGCCCCUUCAGACCUGGGAGAGGAAAAAAGAGGCCCAGAAACGUGGCCUGGGCACAGCAGAGGCCCUAUCCUUACUCUCAACGAAGGGUGCCAUUUCCAGGCAGGUGAAACAAUGGCGGGUCGGGGGUGAGUGAAAGGAUGGAGAAAAACCGAGGUGGCAGAGAGAAGAGGGAGAGGUAGAGGGGAUGGCAGGCAACACCCACCUGGCUCCUGUGCUCACAGCGCAGCACCCCUUACCCGUCAGCCUCUUAGCGAGCUCUGCUGCACCUCAGAAUCCUCCUUAACCCAGCUCUUCAGGAAGCCACCGCUGCCAGGAGAAGCCGCAGUGUGUCCUGUUGUGUCCGGAAUUGGUGGGCUCUUGGUCUCACUGACUUCAAGAAUGAAGCUACGGACCCUCGCGGUGAGUGUUACAGUUCCUGAAGGCGGCCUGUCCGGAGUUUGUUCCUUCUGAUGUUCAGAUAUGUUACAGCCUUCCGGUGGGUUCGUGAUCUCGCUGGCUCAGGAGUGAAGCUGCAGACCUUCGCGGUGUUACCGCUCUUAAUGCGGCGAGUCUGGAGUUGUUCGUUCCUCCAGCCCUCGCAGGGAAGGAGAAUUCAGCUGAGACGACUUCAGUUCACAACCACAACAAAAAUAGCUUCUCCCGGGGAAGACACAUUCUGCUAACAAGGUCACUUUUGUUUUGCUUCCCCUGCCAUCUGGUUGAGCGGCACCAGGGGCUGGCUUUGGUACCAGCUUAUUCCGCGGAGAGGGGAUGGGAGCCGGGUGGCGCUGCAGAAGGCUUCUCAGCUUCCUGGCAAGGGGCGCCAGCACAAAGUUACCUUCAGACAUCCCCAGAAAGCACGCAGGCAGAUGGAGCCCCGGUUUCACCCAGCCCGACUCUCAUGCGCUCCUCGCCUGCAGAAGGUGAGACACCAGCAGAAAGCAACAAGCAGGUGGGCGUCAGAGGAGAGCAAGAACGCGACAGAAUGGGAAAGCUAUCUUCGUCUUGCAAAACAUUCCAGAACUCCACCUAACUCACUCAGAGUCUGAGUUCCAGAAGGACAACAAAGAAGCAUGAUUUUGUUUCUUGUUUUUAUUUUUCUUCUUUUAAUUCCCCUCCUUUCUACCUUCAAGGUUCAGCUUCUUUCAGUCAUUGAUCCUGUGACCUCAGGGACACUCAAUCACCUACCUUGGCCUCAGUGUUCGCAUGUGUAGAAUGGGAAUCACUUGCGCAGACCUUAUGCAGUGAUGGGGAAGGUGAAAAGAGCAAAUGUGAUUGUCUAGGGGCCCCUGGCUGAGGUUCUUGAGAGAGAACAUACUGGAAUUCCAUGCUUUGUAGCCUACAAGGGCUUUCAUGCAGACAAUUUAGUAAGAUCCCAUGACAGCCAUCUACAGAGCUUUCACAUGACUUAAAUGGUCUGCCCCCGGUUACUUCAAUCGACAGGUGUAGAGCUGGGAUUUAAACACAGACAUUUUCGUUAAAAAGACAGUGUUGCUUUUACUAUGCGGUGAUUUUCAAUCUUUUAAAAUAGGAUAGGAAGCCAUGAAUAUACACACAAAAGAUCAGAUACAGUUUUAAGGGGUUCACAACCUCCUAAAGCUAUGCCCCUCCUAGGAGGAGUCCAGGGGUCUCAGAGGUCUCAGAAUAUUUGCUGGGGGCUGGAGAGGGGUGAAGACAAAACUUUUAGUAAAAUAAAGGAGGAAUCCUUAAAAUGA
Long non-coding RNA from Homo sapiens (human), 2075 nucleotides. RefSeq lists it as uncharacterized. NCBI's taxonomy places the organism in Eukaryota, Metazoa, Chordata, Mammalia, Primates, Hominidae. The transcript has 3 exons. The record is from RefSeq and is a predicted model, not a curated record.